RNAcentral lists this small nucleolar RNA (106 nucleotides) under Drosophila grimshawi. RNAcentral's name for it is "snoRNA:GH25780". It matches the Rfam family "Small nucleolar RNA psi28S-3316", at positions 1 to 104 of the family's 133-position model. From Rfam's summary of the family: psi28S-3316 is a member of the H/ACA class of snoRNA. This family is responsible for guiding the modification of uridine 3316 in Drosophila 28S rRNA to pseudouridine. Lineage: Eukaryota; Metazoa; Arthropoda; Insecta; Diptera; Drosophilidae. The record is from RNAcentral.
UAGCACCUAAAAGCGUUUUCUCGAUAGCUUUUUAAACGCUCCUGAAAAUCGUAGCUGUGUGCUAGAACAAAUGCUGAGGUUGCAAAUGAAUUGAUGCCAAUUAAUG